CAGCAGCCACGGGAAUACAGAGGGUGCAAGCGUUAAUCGGAAUUACUGGGCGUAAAGCGCGCGUAGGUGGUUUGUUAAGUUGGAUGUGAAAGCCCCGGGCUCAACCUGGGAACUGCAUCCAAAACUGGCAAGCUAGAGUACGGUAGAGGGUGGUGGAAUUUCCUGUGUAGCGGUGAAAUGCGUAGAUAUAGGAAGGAACACCAGUGGCGAAGGCGACCACCUGGACUGAUACUGGCACUGAGGUGCGAAAGCGUGGGGAGCAAACAGGAUUAGAUACCCCAGUAGUCCCUGUCUCUUAUAC
This 301-nucleotide ribosomal RNA is filed under the name uncultured bacterium. RNAcentral describes it as "partial 16S ribosomal RNA". It matches the Rfam family "Bacterial small subunit ribosomal RNA", at positions 509 to 807 of the family's 1533-position model. The record is from RNAcentral.